This 573-nucleotide ribosomal RNA is filed under the name uncultured bacterium. RNAcentral describes it as "bacterial SSU rRNA". It matches the Rfam family "Bacterial small subunit ribosomal RNA", at positions 56 to 602 of the family's 1533-position model. The record is from RNAcentral.
UGCAGUCGACGCUUUUUCUUUCACCGGAGCUUGCUCCACCGAAAGAAAAAGAGUGGCGAACGGGUGAGUAACACGUGGGUAACCUGCCCAUCAGAAGGGGAUAACACUUGGAAACAGGUGCUAAUACCGUAUAACACUAUUUUCCGCAUGGAAGAAAGUUGAAAGGCGCUUUUGCGUCACUGAUGGAUGGACCCGCGGUGCAUUAGCUAGUUGGUGAGGUAACGGCUCACCAAGGCAGACGAUGCAUAGCCGACCUGAGAGGGUGAUCGGCCACACUGGGACUGAGACACGGCCCAGACUCCUACGGGAGGCAGCAGUAGGGAAUCUUCGGCAAUGGACGAAAGUCUGACCGAGCAACGCCGCGUGAGUGAAGAAGGUUUUCGGAUCGUAAAACUCUGUUGUUAGAGAAGAACAAGGAUGAGAGUAGAACGUUCAUCCCUUGACGGUAUCUAACCAGAAAGCCACGGCUAACUACGUGCCAGCAGCCGCGGUAAUACGUAGGUGGCAAGCGUUGUCCGGAUUUAUUGGGCGUAAAGCGAGCGCAGGCGGUUUCUUAAGUCUGAUGUGAAAGCC